AUAUUGAUAGUUAUUUUCUAGGAUUUAUUUCGCUGCGGUUUCUUCUUGAUCUUAGAAAGAUCGAUCAUAGAAGAAACCCGAUCAACCGACUCU
RNAcentral lists this small RNA (93 nucleotides) under Arabidopsis thaliana (thale cress). RNAcentral's name for it is "ATSL307460". The record is from RNAcentral. Lineage: Eukaryota; Viridiplantae; Streptophyta; Magnoliopsida; Brassicales; Brassicaceae.